CUUCCCCCUCGUCUCCUCCUCUCCCACUCGCGCCGCUCCCUAUCCUCUUCCUCCCGCCCCGCCUCUCUCUCCCCCUCCAAACCCUAGGCUGCGCCCGCCUCGCUGCCCCGCCGCCGGCCGCCGCCGCUCGCCCGGGUACCCAUCCAUGACCUCACGUCGCCCUCUCCUCUUCCUUCUCGGCCUGUUCGCGCUCACAGAGGCCAAUGCGGGCGCGCUGCUCUGGGUGGCGCGCCGCCUCCGCCGCCGGUAGAAGGUGGCCGCGGCGGCCGCCGCGCAGCCCGGCGAGCAACCGUUCCCCUACGAGAAGAAGGUGAGGAGGACACGCCCCUCCGUCAAGAGAUGGCCAAGGCGGCCGCACUGCUCUGGGUGGAGGGUCGCCUCCGCCGCCGGCAGGAUUGGGCCGCGGCGGCCGUCGCGCAGCCCGGCGACCAAGAGCUCCCCGGCGAGCAGCCAUUCCCCUACGAGAAGAAGGUGAGGAGGACACGUACCUCCGUCAAGAGAUGCUCGCGCGCCGGGAGAAUACGUGGAGAUCGAGGGACGUCUGCUCCUGCUCGACCGAUUCCAGAUCGAGGGACGCCUGAUUCUGCUCGCUACGGACGCCGCCCCAUGGCCACAUAGGUCAUGUCUCCUUCCUUCGCCUGCAAAACAUGCCAGGAAAGUCACGAACUUAUUCACCUUCCAUUUUCUUAGUCAUUUUGGGUGCAGAUGUAGUAGUGCAUAACAUCUCAAUACAGUAAUCUCCUUAGGCUGUAGAUGGAAAGGUUACUUUCCUCGAUGAACUCGUGUGGUAUGUGGUGGAAAUAGAUCUGCAGAUGGAAAUGAUUCUAUUUUUCUUGAGGGAUGAAGCAGCAAGUCCCACCUAUUUUUCCAGUGUACAUUCAGUACAACUUGUUGGGAUGUCUUGCAUAUACAGUGGAACACCUCUCUGUGCAUUUAAUAAAUGAUUGUACAAUCUGGUAGAGCAUGGAACCAAACUCUCUUCAAGGAAGUGGUUAUUCGAAUCUAUGGAAACUAAGGAACAAACACUGGUUUGAUAAAGAUAGACCCACAAUCAUUAGGUGGAAAAAGGGGCUGCUGGCUGAUUUCGAAAUCCUGAAAUACAGGAUCAAGACUGAAGACACAAGCACACUAGAGGCUUUGAUUACCUCCCUCCACACCUAGACUACUCCUUGUAACCUCCCCUGUUGUAGUUUGCUCUGUUUUCCUUUUCUUUCCUCGGCCUUUUUUUAGGGCCCAAAAUUUCCAUUACCAUGGAAAUAUGUAAAUAACUCUGUAAAAAACAUCUUUUCUUUAAUACAUAACAGUGGGAGUCUCUCCUGCUGUUUUCAUUGCUAAAAAAACGUUCAGGUAAUUGAAGUACCUAGGGUAUAUCCCACCCCCCUUUUCUGCCUCCAAGCAGACAACAUCUCACUAAUAAAACACUGUGUUCUUCGCGCAACCACGAGAUGAUGAAAUGGUUACUGAUUUGAUGUGUCAAAUUCACUUGCAGGUAAAUACAUGUUGUCUGAUCCAAAUAAGAUGACUGAUGCGAACGAAGAUGGCUCUCAAAACACCAGGAAUAAUAUGUUGCCACUUGCCACCACUUCAGAGGAAAACAGGAGGUUCUGGUUCUAUUGCUGCUCUUAAGGAACCUAUAAAUACAUGUUGUCUGAUCCAAAAUAGAUGACUGAUGCGAACGAAGAUGGCUCUCAAAACACCAGGAAUAAUAUGUUGCCACUUGCCACCACUUCAGAGGAAAACAGGAGGUUCUGGUUCUAUUGCUGCUCUUAAGGAACCUGUUGGUCCACUGUCUACGGGUGCUCGUGGUUCUGGUUAGUUUGUCCAGCUAUGUCUUCGGCACCGCUCUACAGGUCGACCCUUUCUCUCCUUCUAUUCUCAGCUCUCGAGGCACGUGCUUGUGUUCUUGCAUCCAUAUAUCUUCCGUGUGCAUUUAUUGGUAGAAGCCUGGCAUCUAAAAGUAUCAUUGUUUGCUUGUAUUUUUGUGGGACCUAAUUUUUUUGGUGGAACUGCUCGCAUGUGCCAUGUUGUUGGAGCUACGGGACAAGCCAAUGUAGUUCCAGAUGUGAUUUAUAAAGAUUAUUCGAUGGAUUGUAGUUGUAGCAGUUUGCUGACGGCAAGAUGCAUUUGUAUGAGAUGCCAUGUGCUCCUGGUUGUCUGCAUGCCUUUUUCUAGGUAUAUUGGCAGGGUAUGUUCAUUCUUCCUGAUCAGCAAAGCAUCGAUCACUCUAAAUUUGAGUUAGCUAGAUGAUUAGUGAAGUAUAUAACUAAAUGUAGACAUAUUGAGGGGGUCAUUAGAGGCGCCGAAGCAUGAUGAAGUUUGAGAUCUAUCAUCUAUGGUGAAAAAUGAGAAUCGAUGCAUUAUUUCUGAAAAUGACAAUUGGGACCUGUGUGUGGCUUCUGCGUGUUUAGUUGGUCUAGGUUACAUUUGGCUUUUCAAUUAGGAUUUGGUGUAAUGGAUGGGUGGCAUGUGAGUAGUAUAUCCCCCUGCAGGAUUUUUGUUAUAUAUACCCUGGACCAGUAUUCAGCUAAGCAAGAGUAAACAGAGGAGGAAUAGCAACAUAGCUACUACUACUAGAUCAACAUCUGCUAUAUAUACCCUAUUUUUUCAACCUUCUAUUUGAUUUCAUCUUCCAGUUUGUUGGUGACUUUCAGUCUCUGAGCACCUCUGGAGCCUGCUGGAUACUGCUCUUGCUGUUUUGUUCGCAAGAUACUACGAAUUCUUUAUGAGAGGAUGCUUCUGCUGGAGACCUGGAUCCAGUCCAAUGAUUUAUCCGACAAGGAGGAGAAGCAUUGUUGGGUUCCUCACUGUCACCAAGGGGAUGCAACCUACAUCAAUCGUGCAGAGAGCCACUGAUGUGUCCGUGCCCAUGUGCUUCACCGAGCUUCAGGAAAAAUAAUCUAUUUCUCGGAUUAGUCCAUGCUUACAAGUGAAGAAUAUGUGCUUUGAUAGGAUCUGUAGCUACCGACAUUACAUCGUUUGCUGAUAGCUGUGGCAUGUCAUUACAAUUGUGACAAGGCAGACUUCUAUGUUCUACUUAGCAUAGACUAUUUCAUCGCAUGCCCUUUGACUUUGGACUCAUAUAACAUAAUAAUUCAACCUUGAUCUUGCUAGACCUGUCAAUGUAAUGAUAAACUACGUCCUGCUCUUGGUAUGUCCCUUUGUUAGAUGUAAACCUCCCUGCACCUCAAACAAAUAUAUGGAAACAUGCAUUGUUAACAUAUUGUUCUCCUUGUGAACACACUGAAAUCAAUUCCGACUUAUGAUCUCACGCCAAUAUUUAGCAGCA
Molecule: long non-coding RNA, 3286 nt
Organism: Triticum dicoccoides
Lineage: Eukaryota; Viridiplantae; Streptophyta; Magnoliopsida; Poales; Poaceae
Exons: 6
Source: RefSeq, a predicted model, not a curated record